CUUUUCCUCUCUCUUUCUUCGUCGUUUAUGUGUUUGUGUGUGUGUGUGUUGCUUUUUUUCCCUUCUUUGUAAGAGUUGUCGGAAAGAUUUGAUCAAAUGUGGACUCGGAUGACCAAUACUUUUGAAACUUUUACGAGGGAUGCUUGGAAAAGUUUCUUUUUUAUCGAAACAACAUAAAUCUUUUGAUUUAAUGUCCUCUAGUCAUUUUGAAAAUGGACUAAGUUAAAAUAUUGCAAAAACUUGGCAUGUGCUGAUACGAUUUUCUUUUUAACAAAUAACUAGGUUUUUACGACCAGUGGAAAUAAAUUAAUAACUUAUUCCUCAAAUUGUUUAACACAUGUACGUUUAUUUCUAUUUAAAUGUAAAAUGUGUAAAAAACCAACUGUCAGAAAUGUGGAAAAACUUGACGACCAAGCUACUUUCAGUUAGUAAACGUUCGUGUGUUCUCGAUAAAUAUAAUAAUCAUCAUGAUUUUCUUGAGAAUAAUCUUUCUCUGUUUCAUUCUUUUAUCAUAACAUUUAUUCAAUUUGUAUUUCUUUUUUUUUUUUUAAUGUGUGAAUGUCCUGUUAGGAAUCUUUACGAUUUAUAAUUAAGCAUUCAUAGUAUGAAUACUUGGAAAUGAAAAGCUUAAGCUAAUUAUUCUUAGCACGUUGUUAGUUAACGUCUUCGAACCAUUUCCUGCGAUUAUAGUGUUUAUAUAUCUAACAUUGAUGCGUCCAAAGGGUGGUUAAGUUACGUGGUUCAAUUCUAUGAAAGAACACACCUUUACUCAAGGAAACAUAUCUACUAUUUCAAAUAACUUUGACCUUUUUUUUUUAUACCAACUUCAAAUCAUGGAUUAAAUCCCCUACCCAGUCCAUGUUAUCCGACAAUUAUUCAUUUAUUAUAAUACGUUCGAAGAUUAACGUUUAUUUUGCACGAGUCUUCCGAGAAGUACACAUGAUUAAUUUUUCAUGCUAAUUAAUUACUCAUUUUGCAGCAGAGAUAUAUCCACUGGGUGUUCCAUAAAUCACAUUACUGAGAGUAGAAGAAGAAGAAAAAGAAGUGGUUUACAGGAUUACGUAAGAUGACUCGUUGAACAAAUUUAGAACACUCGUCAUCAGGUUUGGACCCAGGUGAUACAACAGAAGAGGACGUUGAUCGCGGGUGGUGCGUAUGGAAAUGGGCCCAAGGUUACCAAACGGAGACUGCCCAAAUACCCAAAUACAUACAAUUAUAGCUUACGAGCUGGCUACGAGCUAAAUCUAUCGACGAAUCUCCUUUUAUUGCGAAAGGACCACCAAACAAUACAUUUAACUUUCUUUACGUUGCACAUGCAUGAUUAUUUUCUUCUAAUUUAUUAUUAAAUCAUUGUUAUUUUACAUGUGUUAUUUUGUUAGUAUUUUAAAUCAAUGUUUAUACGUUGUAGGAAAGAAGUCAUGGUUAAUAAAAAUUGUGCGUCUCAGUUACAUCAUAUUUAACCUUGGUCCAGGCAUAAACAACUUCUAGAAAGCAAGUUCAAACGCCUGUCAAACUGUGUUCGGACACAUUCUAUGGAACGUGUACCUGUUAGUGAAUUUCAAUACGAUAACGAAACUGAAGAUGGUUAAAAAAAAAAAACAAGUAGAAGAAGAAGAAGUUGAUAUUUAAAGUGAGAUAAAGAAGAUCAUAAGAUCACUUCCGCUUUGAUGAAAAUGAAACUAACAACGUGAUAGGAUGUGCAAUGACAAGAAUAAGAAGAAUGAUGGAAGGAAGGGAAAGGGAAAUAAAGGGAGCGGUUGGAUGAUUCGUGAAAGAUAAGAAUAAGAAAGAGAUAGAAUGAAAUAGUAGUGGUACUCUUACGUUGGGCCUUAUCGGAAACGACGCAGGUGUCCUCUGUUAAGAGAAUACUCAGCGAAAGGCUUCAAAGGGUUAAUGAUCUUCCUCUCUUUCCGUGUACUACACACAUAUACAACAAAAGUCAGAUGAAUGUAGAGACAGUAUGUUCGCGUGUUCACGCGCAAGAAUACAAACACGAGAUGACGAGCUUCUUGCUAAUCGUCGGUGUCGCUGGCCGCUCUCGAGGUCUCCUUGUAAGAUUCCAACGUGUGCGUCACGCGAUUUCUACGUCUCUUGGAGAGACAAACGAUUACUAUUACUACUACUACUGCUAUUACUACUAUUACUACUACUAUACUUAAUUCGCUAAAUAUUUAUCUAUACGUGUAUAAAUGAAAGGUGAUUUUAUACGAUAGCGAUUGAUUCGAAAGGAGGGUUGAGUGGGGGAGAAAGGAAGAGGUUGGCUUUUUGCGCAGAAAAUUUCCGUGAGAAUGGAUAAUUUAUACGAGAAUUUUUUAAUAUUUUAUAUAAUUAUGUUGAAUAGUGUUGAAUUCAUGAUAAAUAUUAUUAUAUUUCAUUAUGUUAUUCUUAAUGAAAUAAUAUAUGGGAUGAUUCAAUGAAUUCUUGA
Long non-coding RNA from Polistes dominula (European paper wasp), 2425 nucleotides. Lineage: Eukaryota; Metazoa; Arthropoda; Insecta; Hymenoptera; Vespidae. The record is from RefSeq and is a predicted model, not a curated record.